RNAcentral lists this unclassified non-coding RNA (240 nucleotides) under soil metagenome. RNAcentral's name for it is "partial contains 5.8S ribosomal RNA, internal transcribed spacer 2, and large subunit ribosomal RNA". The record is from RNAcentral.
AACUGAUACUACCUGCGGGAACCUGCGGAGGGAUCAUUACUGAAGUGAUUUGGGGAUGUUGCUGGCCCUCUCUCAAGGGGGGGCACUGUGCACUCCUCGAAACAAUUCACAAUUUCCAUCACACCCCUUGUGCACACCUUGUAGGCACCCAGACCCACCUCCGGGUGGUGGGGUCCUAUGUAUUCCUUCAUCUCACACUCUGUUGAAUGGUGCCAUGGGACGCAUCUAAAGGAUUAUUUG